UCAAUAACAUUUAAAUGAGAC
Molecule: non-coding RNA, 21 nt
Organism: Caenorhabditis elegans
Lineage: Eukaryota; Metazoa; Nematoda; Chromadorea; Rhabditida; Rhabditidae
Source: Ensembl